RNAcentral lists this ribosomal RNA (472 nucleotides) under uncultured bacterium. Its description in RNAcentral is "bacterial SSU rRNA". It matches the Rfam family "Bacterial small subunit ribosomal RNA", at positions 335 to 799 of the family's 1533-position model. The record is from RNAcentral.
ACUCCUACGGGAGGCAGCAGUGGGGAAUAUUGCACAAUGGGCGCAAGCCUGAUGCAGCCAUGCCGCGUGUAUGAAGAAGGCCUUCGGGUUGUAAAGUACUUUCAGCAGUGAGGAAGGCAGGUACGUUAAUAGCGUGCUUGUUUGACGUUAGCUGCAGAAGAAGCACCGGCUAACUCCGUGCCAGCAGCCGCGGUAAUACGGAGGGUGCGAGCGUUAAUCGGAAUUACUGGGCGUAAAGCGCAUGCAGGUGGUUUGUUAAGUCAGAUGUGAAAGCCCGGGGCUCAACCUCGGAAUUGCAUUUGAAACUGGCAGACUAGAGUACUGUAGAGGGGGUAGAAUUUCAGGUGUAGCGGUGAAAUGCGUAGAGAUCUGAAGGAAUACCGGUGGCGAAGGCGGCCCCCUGGACAGAUACUGACACUCAGAUGCGAAAGCGUGGGGAGCAAACAGGAUUAGAUACCCUGGUAGGAUAGCG